This is a small nuclear RNA of Myotis lucifugus (little brown bat), 109 nucleotides long. NCBI's taxonomy places the organism in Eukaryota, Metazoa, Chordata, Mammalia, Chiroptera, Vespertilionidae. The record is from Ensembl.
GUGCUCGCUUGGGCAGCACAUACACUAAAAUUGGAACGAUACAGAGAAGAUUAGCAUGGCCCCUGCGCAAAAGGAUGACACGCAAAUUCCAUAUUAAGAAAAAAAGAAA